UCCCGAUUCCAGAGAUAGUAGCUCAACAGUUGACAUUAAUCGCUCGAAUUUCAGCAAAGGAUAGUCUGAAAAUUCUAGUACAAUCUGCAUUGCAUCCAUUGCAAAUUGUACACCUCCUCUCACACUGAACUGGUGGGUCAUAACAAUUUUUAUCAUCCAACUUUCAACUAACGUUCCAAUCUGAUAUAUAGCUUCGCAUUGAGAAGAGCCAAUCAAAAGCUUUUGGAGCAGUGCAAUGAUUUCUUUUAGCCUGGACUGAAAUCCUACAAUUUCUGCAGAAACCGAUGUUGAUAAUAGAGCAGCACCAGGAAGUUGUUCCUUAAUUACCCAUGUAUCAAGGUCAGAAUAGUUGUCAAGUAACGGCCUUAACGUUUGCGAAACUGCACGUAAAAUCAUGCGAAAAGAUCCAUUUGUUAAAGUAGAUAAUCUAGGUUUGACUUGAUAAAAAGCCGCAUAGUUUUCUGAUCCCAUUUUAUGUCCUAUACGAAUGUAGACAUCCUCAUCUUCAAUAUCAUCAAGCCAAUCCAUGAGUAACUUGAAGUUACUGUAAAGUUUACACAUCCGUUCAACUUCAGCAAUAUCAAACUUGGAUUUGUCUGUCUGCAGACUACCAGGUAAAUGAAUAGAUGAUGAACUUUCAUGAGAUUCAUAAAAGGCUUCCAACCAAUUAACAUACUGCAUCAUAGGCUUUAACUGAACAGAUCGCCAAAAAUUAAAUUGAUAAUCAAGAGAUGGUAAAUUUUGAAGCACGGAAAACGUCGUCUCAAUCAUGUCUCGAAAUCGUACAGUCAUUUUCGUGGGGACCGCUGAGCUGAAAUCAUCAGACUGAUCGCUUUCCAGCUCCCAAGCAUCUGAUGCAAUUUUUAUAUCUUCCAACUUUGUGAGGCUCAAUUGAGUCUCUAAACCCAACCAUUUAUCAUAAGUUCCGUUUUGCUCAAAAAGAAAAAUAAUUAAAGGGUCUUGGGUAUAAUGAAAAUGUUGCUCCAACCGCACAGAGUAUUGUAGGGUUUCGUGAACUAAAUGAACUAAAUAAUCAUCAUACUUUAUUAUAUGCGUUAAUUUUUCCUUUGCAACGUUGUUUAGCAAAUUGAUAAAUGUAAAAAAUGGAGGGACGCCGGGAAAAAAUUUUAUAUCACGCAUAAGCAUGUAGAAACUACGAUUAGAGCGAAAAACUUUUAGUAAGAACUCAAAAAACCAUUCUGGUUUUGACAAUACAUUUGUUUGCUUCUGAGACAUAAAGUGGUAACGAAACUGGUUUACAUAGGGGGUAAUGUACACCUGCAUAAAUAAUGGAAGACCUGUUUCAGAAUCUUUAAACGAUUGAAUGGAUCGGACAAAACCAAAAAAACUUUCAAAUUUUGAUGAUUCCUUCAAGUUAGGGUUAAUAGCAGGCCAAUUAAAUAAUGUCUUAAGUUUUUCGGUGAGCUCGUUCUUCCAUUUUUCUUUCACUUCUCUUUCCUUUUUCUGAAAAAGUAAUUCGGCUAUGUAAUGUAAACAAUCAGGUGCAAUUUCUGUCUCAUCUUUCUUCGUUGACAAUGUCGAAAAAUCGGUAGAAAAGUCUAAGAAAUUUGCAACAGUAUCGAGAGAAGCCGAUUUUUUGACAAAGGAUUGAUAUACGCAUAAUAACUCAACUGUGUCUCGGAAAAUAGGCGUCGGGUCGGCAGGUAUUGCUGAAUCUAACCAUGCGUCUUCAAGCCCUUCACUAGACCUUCGAAAUGCGGCAUCUUCGCGAGCCUGCCUCUUUUCUUCUUCGCUUAAAAUAGGAAGUGAGUUAGGAUCCGGAAGCUGAAGCUCAUUGACUUCUUGUUGAAAUUUCUCUACUUCAUCUGACUUAUAAGGAUGCCGUGUUCUUGAAUCAAUAAAAUCAAUUAACUGUUGGGACAUCAUCAAAAAGUCCUAGGUGACCCUUCAAUGAAGUUUCAGCUGCUAUUUGGUUCUUUGUUUACUUCUCUGAACAGUUUUGGAAUAGUCAAUGUGUUGGCACGACUUUAUUUACGGUGCUCGCUAAUGUUGCUAAUAUCAUAUAGUUUGAAGUUUUAAACAAUAAGACUAUUGCAAUAUAAAGUGAGUAGUUUUUAUUAAACAAAAAUUAAUAUUCAAUAAAUUGUUGGCUUAUACUUCCAAACUUGUGAUUCUGAGUGGGUUAUAUUUGACAAAGAUAUGCUGAUGGUUACACUUCGUCGCUUUUACGAAAAGAAGUGAAUUAUACGAUAUAAAUAGCAAAAAAGUGUCUCAAUUAUUCAGGUCUAUAUUACUUUUAUUAAGGACAUUAAGAUUUGUUGGUAUCGACUGCGCAUAUUUCGAGACAGAGUAUUUAGAUGUUUAAUGUCCUAGCGUGUGCCAAAUAAGGAAGAGUUUUUAUCCAUUAAAAACAGUAUAAGUAUUUUCACUUAGAAGAAGUUCACUAAAGCAAAUAGAUAUAAAGAAACAAAGAUAAAAUAACAAACAUCAUUGAACAGCACUUCGAAUACAUUAAAAUUGUAU
Molecule: non-coding RNA, 2484 nt
Organism: Schizosaccharomyces pombe (fission yeast)
Lineage: Eukaryota; Fungi; Ascomycota; Schizosaccharomycetes; Schizosaccharomycetales; Schizosaccharomycetaceae
Source: the annotation of a GenBank genome assembly